Molecule: long non-coding RNA, 1662 nt
Filed under: Homo sapiens (human)
Lineage: Eukaryota; Metazoa; Chordata; Mammalia; Primates; Hominidae
Description: HSALNT0151687
Source: RNAcentral
CCGAAGGUGUGUGUUAAUAGAAUCUCUUCUUCUUCCCACAGGGUGAUAGUGGCCAAGAAUCAGAAGUAGAGUUGGAUCCAGUGGCUUGCCGAGCUGGGGGAUAGAGGCAUUGAAUGCUGGAGUAGGGAGAUAUGGGGGGGAUGGGAAGCCUCAGAGCACCUGAACCCAGCCACUUGCACGCAUACACUCCCUAUGUUUCUUUUUGAAGAUGCUGUCAUGUCCUGGCCGGAGAGAAUUACCCUGAAAGAGGACAGAUCUACAAUUAUGCUCAAUCCUUGGGUGGGUGCAUUUCAGAGUCAAAUCACACGGGAGAAAGCGUUCUGUGGUAGUUUUAACACGACUGCAUUUCCAUGUGGUCUCGCCUUGAACCUGGGUGGGCCUUCGUGAUGCUCUGUGACUUCUGAGGCUUGGUGAGCUGAGCCCACACAGCUGUGCCUGUUUCUCUUGGGACAUUUGCUCUAGGGACCUCCAGCUGUCCUGUAAGAAGUCCAGCUAUGCUGGGGCUGCUGGGUGACAGGAAUACAUAGAUGAAUGGGUGAGAGGCCUCACCAGUGGCAGCUUCCAGAAGUUUGAGUCUUUCAAGCCCAGGAGCCAGACAUAUGAAUGAGGAAACCUCAAAGGCUUCUUGAAGAUGUCUCUCCGUUGCUACCGUCUGACUGUAACCACAUGAGAGACCUUGGUGAGAACUGUCCGGCUAAGCUCAGUCAAGCCACAGAAUGAGGAGAGGUGUCACCCUUGGGUGACAAGAGGCUCUGCCGCUUGGAAAUCUAUAAACAGAAUGAUGGUUCUGCAUGGCAGCCAUUUAAAUAGUUGAACCCAGCAACUGUAUCUCCCUUUCCCUCCCUGGAGGCCAACAUCUCCGGUUUCUACAAAUGUGUCCAUGUGGCAUGGUGCUCAAGACCUCCUUGUCCCUCUCUGGGUUCCUAGAACUGAACAGGUACUACAAGAGGUGUGAACUUCAUCAAGCGCAGAGGGACAUUCACCUCUUGUGGCCAGAUCAGUGGAUUGCAAUAUGGCGGCCAUCAGAAUCAGCCCUGGGGGCCAACCUGGGGCUUCUGGGGUAACCGGUCUUGGGAGCAGGCACCUCCCAUGAUCCCAACGUGCAGCUUUAUCAGCCCAGCUCGUGGAUGGCUCCUCUGAGUUUACUGUUGAUGAAAUCGCCCUGGCCAGUACUUGAAGUGUAAGCUGCAGUUGUUGUGUCUUUAUUUUGUAAUUUUGCAAUUGAUUGAUUGGACUAUAGGAGGUUUUUUUGGGGUGUCUUCUCAGAACAACUGUCCCUCCUCACUGCCUGAUAUGGUAGUGGAUUUGACCACGCUGGGGGCCCAUGGGUGAGCUGGUCAGAGGCCCAAGAUGCAUGUGGCAGUGCUGAGAAGGACAAGUGAAGUCACUCCAACCCCUUCUCUUAGGAUUUGUAACAGGGUGUCUGGUGGUGGGUCUUGGAGCUGGGAGUUCACAUAGAUGCUGGUAGCCAUUUGAGGCCUUGUGCAAAAUGGAUAAACAGAAAAAUCCACAGGGUUGGCCAUUUUAGUGGUCAGUAUGGUGGCAAAAGUAAUAUGCAUGUGUAAUAUUGUGUGACAUAAUGAAAAAUCAUUGUUUCAAAUGUAUUCGCUGACAUUUGUCAUUAAUAGCUGCACUUGGAAAUUUUUUCAUGUCCUUUACAGU